GGCCUCCUGAUGCUCUCCACAGGCUGAAUUCUUACACGGGCUAUAUAGAAAGAGGAGGUGGAGUAAGUCUACACCACAUACACCUCAGCCCAGGUUCUGUUCCUGGUCUGUACUAUGAAUGGGGAAACAUAG
Small nucleolar RNA from Ictidomys tridecemlineatus (thirteen-lined ground squirrel), 132 nucleotides. Lineage: Eukaryota; Metazoa; Chordata; Mammalia; Rodentia; Sciuridae. The record is from Ensembl.